GAUGAAGAACGUAGCGAAAUGCGAUAAGUAAUGUGAAUUGCAGAAUUCAGUGAAUCAUCGAAUCUUUGAACGCACAUUGCGCCCUCUGGUAUUCCGGGGGGCAUGCCUGUUCGAGCGUCAUUAUAACCACUCAAGCUCUCGCUUGGUAUUGGGGUUCGCGGUUCCGCGGCCCCUAAAAUCAGUGGCGGUGCCUGUCGGCUCUACGCGUAGUAAUACUCCUUGCGAUUGAGUCCGGUAGGUCUACUUGCCAGCAACCCCCAAUUUUUACAGGUUGACCUCGGAUCAGGUAGGGAUACCCGCUGAACUUAAGCAUAUCAAUAAGCGGAGGA
RNAcentral lists this unclassified non-coding RNA (329 nucleotides) under soil metagenome. Its description in RNAcentral is "partial contains 5.8S ribosomal RNA, internal transcribed spacer 2, and large subunit ribosomal RNA". The stretch from base 1 to 120 matches the Rfam family "5.8S ribosomal RNA", at positions 35 to 154 of the family's 154-position model. The record is from RNAcentral.